UUUCCGUAGGUGAACCUGCGGAAGGAUCAUUACAGAGUUCAUGCCCUCACGGGUAGAUCUCCCACCCUUGAAUAUUUAUACCUUAGUUGCUUUGGCAGGCCGUGGAAACACCAUGGGCUCCGGCUUAUGCGUGCCUGCCAGAGGAAACAAACUCUGUUUUUAGUGAUGUCUGGGUACUAUAUAAUAGUUAAAACUUUCAACAACGGAUCUCUUGGUUCUG
This 220-nucleotide unclassified non-coding RNA is filed under the name plant metagenome. RNAcentral describes it as "partial contains small subunit ribosomal RNA, internal transcribed spacer 1, and 5.8S ribosomal RNA". The record is from RNAcentral.